GGUGAACGCUGGCGGCGUGCUUGACACAUGCAAGUCGAACGGUAUGUGGCAACACAUAGAGUGGCGAACGGGUGAGUAACACGUGGGAACGUACCUUCUGCAGGGGGAUAACUGACCGAAAGGACAGCUAAUACCGCAUAAGACCGAGAGGAGAAAGGUGCAACAGCAUCGGCAGAGGAGCGGCCCGCGGACCAUCAGCUAGUUGGUGGGGUAAGAGCCUACCAAGGCAACGACGGAUAGCCGGCGUGAGAGCGUGGCCGGCCACAAGGACACUGAGAUACGGGUCCUACUCCUACGGGAGGCAGCAGUGCGGAAUUUUAGAUAAUGGAGGCAACUCUGAUCUAGCGACGCCGCGUGCAGGAAGAAGGUCUUCGGAUUGUAAACUGCUGUGGUAAGGGAAAAAUGCCAUGUAGAGUGGAAAGCUACAUGGAGGGAUGGUACUUUACUAGAAAGCCCCGGCUAACUACGUGCCAGCAGCCGCGGUAAUACGUAGGGGGCGAGCGUUACCCGGAAUCACUGGGCGUAAAGGGAGCGUAGGUGGCCUGACAUGUCGACUGUGAAAACCCGGAGCUCAACUCCGGACUUGCAGUUGAAACUGCCAGGCUUGAGGACGGUAGAGGAAGACGGAACUGCCAGUGUAGGGGUAAAAUCCUUAGAUAUUGGCAGGAACGCCGGUGACGAAAGUGGUUUUCUGGGCCGGUUCUGACACUGAUGCUCGAAAGCCAGGGGAGCGAACG
This 737-nucleotide ribosomal RNA is filed under the name uncultured Kosmotoga sp. Its description in RNAcentral is "bacterial SSU rRNA". It matches the Rfam family "Bacterial small subunit ribosomal RNA", at positions 28 to 774 of the family's 1533-position model. The record is from RNAcentral. Lineage: Bacteria; Thermotogati; Thermotogota; Thermotogae; Kosmotogales; Kosmotogaceae.